Molecule: ribosomal RNA, 710 nt
Filed under: uncultured bacterium
Lineage: Bacteria
Description: bacterial SSU rRNA
Rfam family: Bacterial small subunit ribosomal RNA
Source: RNAcentral
AGCGGCGGACGGGUGAGUAACGCGUGGGUAACCUGGCCUGUACACACGGAUAACAUACCGAAAGGUAUGCUAAUACGAGAUAAUAUGCUUUUAUCGCAUGGUAGAAGUAUCAAAGCUUUUGCGGUACAGGAUGGACCCGCGUCUGAUUAGCUAGUUGGUAAGGUAACGGCUUACCAAGGCGACGAUCAGUAGCCGACCUGAGAGGGUGAUCGGCCACAUUGGAACUGAGACACGGUCCAAACUCCUACGGGAGGCAGCAGUGGGGAAUAUUGCACAAUGGGCGAAAGCCUGAUGCAGCAACGCCGCGUGAGCGAUGAAGGCCUUCGGGUCGUAAAGCUCUGUCCUCAAGGAAGAUAAUGACGGUACUUGAGGAGGAAGCCCCGGCUAACUACGUGCCAGCAGCCGCGGUAAUACGUAGGGGGCUAGCGUUAUCCGGAAUUACUGGGCGUAAAGGGUGCGUAGGUGGUUUCUUAAGUCAGAGGUGAAAGGCUACGGCUCAACCGUAGUAAGCCUUUGAAACUGGGAAACUUGAGUGCAGGAGAGGAGAGUGGAAUUCCUAGUGUAGCGGUGAAAUGCGUAGAUAUUAGGAGGAACACCAGUUGCGAAGGCGGCUCUCUGGACUGUAACUGACACUGAGGCACGAAAGCGUGGGGAGCAAACAGGAUUAGAUACCCUGGUAGUCCACGCCGUAAACGAUGAGUACUAGCUGU